CGGCGGACGGGUGAGUAACACGUGGAUAACCUACCUAUAAGACUGGGAUAACUUCGGGAAACCGGAGCUAAUACCGGAUAAUAUAUUGAACCGCAUGGUUCAAUAGUGAAAGACGGUUUUGCUGUCACUUAUAGAUGGAUCCGCGCCGCAUUAGCUAGUUGGUAAGGUAACGGCUUACCAAGGCAACGAUGCGUAGCCGACCUGAGAGGGUGAUCGGCCACACUGGAACUUAGACACGGUCCAGACUCCUACGGGAGGCAGCAGUU
RNAcentral lists this ribosomal RNA (266 nucleotides) under uncultured Staphylococcus sp. RNAcentral's name for it is "partial 16S ribosomal RNA". It matches the Rfam family "Bacterial small subunit ribosomal RNA", at positions 96 to 355 of the family's 1533-position model. Lineage: Bacteria; Bacillati; Bacillota; Bacilli; Caryophanales; Staphylococcaceae. The record is from RNAcentral.